CAGACGGAGAUGUGGAAGAAAGGGAACAGGAUUCACAUCCAGUGCAAGGUGAAGGAGAGCGGAGACUUGGUGCUGUCUGGAGCAAAUAUAGAUCUGCAGACGGAUGUGUGUGUCAGCGCCGGGUCUCCGCAGAGCCUCGGCCUGCAGAGCGACCUGGUGUUCUCUGAGAUCGCACGCACUUUUUUUUAGAAGUGCCAGAAAACCUAUGACACAGGAGAUGUUCCUGAUUUUAACAUUUCUGAAGGGAGCUGCUGACAGAGAGGAUGAAAACAUACACAUUUUGAUGUCCACGCUGUAGGAGCAUUACUAAAUAAGUUCUUCCAUGCUGAUGGCUGUGCUCUAGUCAUAUCUCCUGUCGAAGAACAUUUUUAGACAUUAUGAACCAUGAAUAAGUUUAGCUCCAACCCCAGUUAAGCAGACCUGAGCAGCUGAUCAAGGAUCAGCAGAAACUCUGCAGAACGGU
Carassius auratus (goldfish) is the source of this 463-nucleotide long non-coding RNA. RefSeq lists it as uncharacterized. The transcript is spliced from 6 exons. Lineage: Eukaryota; Metazoa; Chordata; Actinopteri; Cypriniformes; Cyprinidae. The record is from RefSeq and is a predicted model, not a curated record.